GAUGAAGAACGCAGCGAAAUGCGAUAAGUAGUGUGAAUUGCAGAAUUCAGUGAAUCAUCGAAUCUUUGAACGCACAUUGCGCCCCUUGGUAUCCCGAGGGGCAUGCCUGUUCGAGCGUCAUUUCACCACUCAAGCCUCGCUUGGUAUUGGGCAACGCGGUCCGCCGCGUGCCUCAAAUCGACCGGCUGGGUCUUCUGUCCCCUAAGCGUUGUGGAAACUAUUCGCUAAAGGGUGUUCGGGAGGCUACGCCGUAAAACAACCCCAUUUCUAAGGUUGACCUCGGAUCAGGUAGGGAUACCCGCUGAACUUAAGCAUAUCAAUAAGCGGAGGA
This 331-nucleotide unclassified non-coding RNA is filed under the name soil metagenome. RNAcentral's name for it is "partial contains 5.8S ribosomal RNA, internal transcribed spacer 2, and large subunit ribosomal RNA". The stretch from base 1 to 120 matches the Rfam family "5.8S ribosomal RNA", at positions 35 to 154 of the family's 154-position model. The record is from RNAcentral.